AGUGAACGCUGGCGGUAGGCCUAACACAUGCAAGUCGAACGGCAGCACAGUAAUAGCUUGCUCUUACGGGUGGCGAGUGGCGGACGGGUGAGGAAUACAUCGUAAUCUACUUUUUCGUGGGGGAUAACGUAGGGAAACUUACGCUAAUACCGCAUACGACCUACGGUUGAAAGCAGGGGAUCUUCUGACCUUGCGCGAUUGAAUGAGCCGAUGUCGGAUUAGAUAGUUGGCGGGGUAAAGGCCCACCAAGGCGACGAUCCGUAGCUGGUCUGAGAGGAUGAUCAGCCACACUGGAACUGAGACACGGUCCAGACGCCUACGGGAGGCAGCAGUGGGGAAUAUUGGACAAUGGGCGCAAGCCUGAUCCAGCCAUACCGCGUGGGUGAAGAAGGCCUUCGGGUUGUAAAGCCCUUUUGUUGGGAAAGAAAAGCAGCAGGUUAAUACCACGCUGUUCUGACGGUACCCAAAGAAUAAGCACCGGCUAACUUCGUG
Molecule: ribosomal RNA, 492 nt
Filed under: uncultured bacterium
Lineage: Bacteria
Description: partial 16S ribosomal RNA
Rfam family: Bacterial small subunit ribosomal RNA
Source: RNAcentral